CAUGCACCUCGUUAGGUGAGGCGUCUGCAUGGAUACAGGCCACUGACCUCGAACGUCGAGAGACGCCCCGGGUCAGGACAGCUCUUCCCGGACCCAAGGGUCGAGCCCAAGUGGCUUCUGGGCGAUGGUCCAGAUACGCCGUGCAGUGCCGAAGCUCCGACGAGAGAGGUGUAGG
RNAcentral lists this small RNA (175 nucleotides) under Mycobacterium sp. Its description in RNAcentral is "Magnesium sequence". It matches the Rfam family "M-box riboswitch aptamer (ykoK leader)". From Rfam's summary of the family: M-box riboswitch, also know as ykoK leader is described as a metaloregulatory RNA that sense divalent metals and function as a genetic control element of genes related to divalent metal transport in bacteria. It was first reported upstream of the B.subtilis ykoK gene and genes with related functions in other bacteria. The record is from RNAcentral. RNAcentral also lists the same sequence under 1 other name. Lineage: Bacteria; Bacillati; Actinomycetota; Actinomycetes; Mycobacteriales; Mycobacteriaceae.